Molecule: non-coding RNA, 31 nt
Filed under: Mus musculus (house mouse)
Lineage: Eukaryota; Metazoa; Chordata; Mammalia; Rodentia; Muridae
Source: RNAcentral
UUGACUUUCAGAUUGUGACUUCUUCCCCUUC